AUGGGGACGAGUGAUGGACGGUGGAGGGAGGAGAGAGGAGGAAGGAGUCCUAGUUCACCGGCAUCGGCGCCGCCGGACGGCCGAACCUGCCCCAUCCCUCACGGAUACCAGAUUGAGGAGGCAUGGGACGACCUGACCUCCACCAUAGGGGGCAAAGGGAGGGAGGAGCCGAGGAGGGAGGUAGGAGUAAGGAGGAGAAGGGCCGGUGCACCGGUGCCGAAGCUGUCGGACCGCCGGCCGACCACCGCCAUGGGAUGGGGGAGGACAGAGGGAGGAGGGAGGAGGGAGGAAGGAGAAAGGAAGGAAAACUAUACCUGCCGGAUGUGGAGUGUCGCUGGAGUGAGCCGCGGAGGCAGGGGCGGCGGCUGGCAGCCGGCGGAGGCGGCGGCGGCGGCCAAACCCUAG
This 405-nucleotide ribosomal RNA is filed under the name Triticum aestivum (bread wheat). RNAcentral describes it as "partial small subunit ribosomal RNA". Lineage: Eukaryota; Viridiplantae; Streptophyta; Magnoliopsida; Poales; Poaceae. The record is from RNAcentral.